AGAGUUUGAUCAUGGCUCAGAAUCAACGCUGGCGGCGUGCCUAACACAUGCAAGUCGAGCGAGAAAGGGUAGCAAUACCUGAGUAAAGCGGCGCACGGGUGAGUAACACGUGGGUAACCUGCCUCGGAGUGGGGAAUAACACCGGGAAACCGGUGCUAAUACCGCAUAUACCGAUGGGGUCUUUGGACCUUGUCGGGAAAGGAGCAAUUCGCUCUGAGAGGGGCCCGCGGCUGAUUAGCUAGUUGGUGAGGUAAUGGCUCACCAAGGCAAUGAUCAGUAUCCGGUCUGAGAGGACGGUCGGACACACUGGAACUGAGACACGGUCCAGACUCCUACGGGAGGCAGCAGUGGGGAAUUUUUGGCAAUGGGGGAAACCCUGACCAAGCAACGCCGCGUGGAUGAUGAAGUAUUUCGGUACGUAAAAUCCUUUCGACGGGGACGAAACCGCAAGGUUGACGGUACCCGUAGAAGAAGCCCCGGCUAACUCCGUGCCAGCAGCCGCGGUAAUACGGGGGGGGCAAGCGUUGUUCGGAAUUACUGGGCGUAAAGGGCGCGUAGGCGGCCUGCUAAGUUGGAUGUGAAAACUCUGGGCUCAACCCAGAGCCUGCAUUCAAUACUGACGGGCUAGAGUACUGGAGGGGAAAGCGGAAUUCCUGGUGUAGCGGUGAAAUGCGUAGAUAUCAGGAGGAACACCGGUGGCGAAGGCGGCUUUCUGGACAGUAACUGACGCUGAGGCGCGAAAGCUAGGGGAGCAAACAGGAUUAGAUACCCUAGUAGUCC
Molecule: ribosomal RNA, 780 nt
Filed under: uncultured bacterium
Lineage: Bacteria
Description: bacterial SSU rRNA
Rfam family: Bacterial small subunit ribosomal RNA
Source: RNAcentral